UGCCCAGUGAGUUUUAAACGGCCGCGGUACUCUGACCGUGCAAAGGUAGCAUAAUCAUUUGCCUUAUAAUUGAAGGCUGGAAUGAAUGGUUUGACAAGAAUACAUCUGUCUCUUUUUGAUUGUUUAGAACUUUAUUUUUGGAUGAAAAAGUCCAAAUAUUAUUAAAAGACAAGAAGACCCUAUCGAGCUUUAGAAAAAUUAGUAGGCUUAAUAUAAAUCAAUAUUAAUAAAAGAAAAGCUAUUAAAUACUUUGGUUGGGGCAACCGAGGAGUAACUAGAGCCUCCUUUAAGUUAAUGAAUCUUACUUGUGUUGAUCCAAGAAUUUUGAUCAAAGGAAUUAGUUACCGUAGGGAUAACAGCAUUAUCUUUUUCAAGAGCCCAUAUCGAAAAAAAGGUUUGUGACCUCGAUGUUGGACCAGAAUGUCCUAAAGAUGCAGAAGUCUUUAAGGGUUGGUCU
This 457-nucleotide ribosomal RNA is filed under the name Conus inscriptus. RNAcentral's name for it is "partial 16S ribosomal RNA". It matches the Rfam family "Bacterial large subunit ribosomal RNA", at positions 1860 to 2578 of the family's 2925-position model. The record is from RNAcentral. Lineage: Eukaryota; Metazoa; Mollusca; Gastropoda; Neogastropoda; Conidae.